RNAcentral lists this long non-coding RNA (1560 nucleotides) under Marmota monax (woodchuck). The record is from RNAcentral. Lineage: Eukaryota; Metazoa; Chordata; Mammalia; Rodentia; Sciuridae.
AGAUAACACUGUGCAAACUAGUCCCGAGGGAUAGAUAAGAGUCCCUUCCAAAUUCAGAAGCACCAUAAAUCUCUCCCAGUCUUCCGAGACAGCUAUUGACUCUGAAGCAAAAUGGAAGAUUCAGACCUGCAAAGGGGCUUUUAACUAAUCUAGGAAAUCUCUUUGAGAGUUGGGGCUGACGGGGGGUGGGGGGUGGGGGGGGUGGUUGCAUUUAGUUUUGGCCAUUUUUCCUCCUUCAAGCGCUGUGGAUUUGUACCAACAGAUAGUGAAUUUAAGUUCAGAAAAGGUUAAGUCCACAUUUGAAAAGCAGUAUUUUCUUCAGUCAUAAGGUAUCUGGAUGAGUAAACUUCGGUCAAUAAUUCUCUACUCUUCUCUUAAGGUGGCAGGUAAGUUUGUUCAAACCACUAGGAGCCAUAAAUUGUGCUUGGGAUAACAGGGUGGAGGCAGUUUUACCUCAGGGCAGACACUAGAUGUCCAGCACAGGAGAAGAAAUGACUGCCCCCACCCAGGAGGCAAGACCUUCUUACUGAACUGAAGCAUGACUUCCCCAUGACCAAUUUGGAUAAUGAGGCUGGAGUUUUUUGGUUUUGUUUGUUUGUUUGUUUUUAAACCAAAUUCUAACAUUCACUGUCAUUAGAAACAAAACAAAAACAACUUCAUGGAUGCCCACUGUAUAUGUUAAGCAGCAAGCUGGGUGCCUACAAGUGAUUUUUUUCAAAUGCAUUCUUUGAAAGAACUAUGUCCUUAUGAAUAUUCUGACUAUGAGAUAACAUGCUUCUUGACUUUAAAAAUUUAUUCUUAACAAAUGCAUGGUUUUUAUAUGACACAAGAUCCAAAUCUGUUAUUUUACACUUUGGAAUACAGUUGUUUGCUCAAAGGAAGCUGAAUUCCAUGGGCAGUGUAUUAGAAAUGAUCUUCAGGUCGAUGCCAUGUGCUUUGGGUGGGUUACAGUAGGGGACAGGUGGGCCAUGCUUAUUUCUUUGAUAAUUGCCCACAAUAAGCGUGGCAUCCGGAAGGUAGCUCCAUAAAUAUUGUUGAUCGACAGCCAGAAUUCAUUCCAUGCUUCAGUCUGCCCACACUGUCUCUCCAGAAGAUAGUCUACUCUAUAAAUACGUGUUUUCUUCUUUACAGAAGUGAUAAAUCUGAAAUGGAGCCUACUCCUGUGAGAAACUCGAGCAGGAAAGAGGAAAGCGGAACAAGCAACUUGAAGUGUAUGCACGUAGGUGUCAGGAACUGGCCUGCUGAUCUGAGUCUCUGCCAAGGAAGAUAGGUGCAGGGCGUCAGCCUAUCUGCCUAAGUGAACGGUGGGAAAACUGCAUCAGGAAGUCAUUCUUCCUACCAGCCCCUUUGGCUUGUGCCUCCCCCAACAGCCAGAUGAAAGAGGAGUAGCUGGCUCCUUAUCACCAUCUAGCAGCUGUAAAGGUGACACUGGGCUCUGCCUGCCUGGCUGGCUUUGAGAUUAAACAGAACAUAACUUCAGGGUCCCCAAACUACUUUGGCUUGAGAGCAAAGGUAAUAACUUCUCAGACUAAACAGAUAAACCCCCUUGAACAAAGGCUG